GAAAGGUGUAUGGUGAUCAAUACACCUCUACGUCCAGAUCCACUACCUCCAGUGUCAAUUCAUCACCUUCCAUAGAUGUGGAGGCUAUGAAAGCCGAACUUCGGGAGGAGCUCAGAGCGGAGAUGACUCAGAAUUUCAACGCCAUUUUGGCGCAGAUGGGCUUACCGACUUUUGGUGCUUUCACGCAGGGCAAUGUUCCUAUGCAGCCUGUUCCUACGCAGCCUGUUCCUACGCAGCCUCGUCCACAACCGGAGUUAACGGAAGAGACACCAUGUGAGCUAUGUAAUCAAGGAGAUGGUCAUGGUAGAUUCAUUAUCGUGGCUUAUGGAUCUGUACAGCCCCUAGGGACCGGCCACUAUUGCACAACCAGCCAGUAGCUGAUAUUCACUAUGUGGUCAGCGUUGAAGACAUUGUGACCGGUUUCGAAGCAUUUCCUCUUCCGCUGCCGAAUGCAGCAGUUGGUCUACAGUUAUUGUCUGAUUCCAUUGGCAGUUAUAUUCUAUGGCCGCGUGCAUUGGUGCGGUUAGCAUAUCAGGGUUCGGGGAAGGCCGACAGGAAGG
Molecule: long non-coding RNA, 560 nt
Organism: Beta vulgaris subsp. vulgaris (sugar beet)
Lineage: Eukaryota; Viridiplantae; Streptophyta; Magnoliopsida; Caryophyllales; Amaranthaceae
Exons: 3
Source: RefSeq, a predicted model, not a curated record